Molecule: transfer RNA, 69 nt
Filed under: Urocitellus parryii (Arctic ground squirrel)
Lineage: Eukaryota; Metazoa; Chordata; Mammalia; Rodentia; Sciuridae
Also listed under: 1 other name
Description: Spermophilus parryii (Arctic ground squirrel) tRNA
Rfam family: tRNA
About the family: Transfer RNA (tRNA) molecules are approximately 80 nucleotides in length. Their secondary structure includes four short double-helical elements and three loops (D, anti-codon, and T loops). Further hydrogen bonds mediate the characteristic L-shaped molecular structure. tRNAs have two regions of fundamental functional importance: the anti-codon, which is responsible for specific mRNA codon recognition, and the 3' end, to which the tRNAs corresponding amino acid is attached (by aminoacyl-tRNA synthetases). tRNAs cope with the degeneracy of the genetic code in two manners: having more than one tRNA (with a specific anti-codon) for a particular amino acid; and 'wobble' base-pairing, i.e. permitting non-standard base-pairing at the 3rd anti-codon position.
Source: Rfam by way of RNAcentral
GGGGAUAUAGCUCAGUUGGUAGAGUGCUUGCCUUGCAUGCACAUGGCCUGGGUUCAUUCCCCAGCACCA